RNAcentral lists this ribosomal RNA (468 nucleotides) under uncultured bacterium. Its description in RNAcentral is "partial 16S ribosomal RNA". It matches the Rfam family "Bacterial small subunit ribosomal RNA", at positions 28 to 507 of the family's 1533-position model. The record is from RNAcentral.
GACGAACGCUGGCGGCGUGCUUAACACAUGCAAGUCGAACGGAAAGGCCCUGCUUUUGUGGGGUGCUCGAGUGGCGAACGGGUGAGUAACACGUGAGUAACCUGCCCUUGACUUUGGGAUAACUUCAGGAAACUGGGGCUAAUACCGGAUAGGAGCUCCUGCUGCAUGGUGGGGGUUGGAAAGUUUCGGCGGUUGGGGAUGGACUCGCGGCUUAUCAGCUUGUUGGUGGGGUAGUUGCUUACCAAGCCUUUGACGGGUAGCCGGCCUGAGAGGGUGACCGGGGACAUUGGGACUGGGAUACGGCGCAGACUCCUACGGGAGGCAGCAGUGGGGAAUAUUGCACAAUGGGCGGAAGCCUGAUGCAGCAACGCCGCGUGCGGGAUGACGGCCUUCGGGUUGUAAACCGCUGUCGCCUGUGACGAAGCGUGAGUGACGGUAAUGGGUAAAGAAGCACCGGCUAACUACGUG